AAAUGAUAUAGAAAACAUAGUGAGAUCUAUGUGGGGUUAUGAGUGUUACUUUUCAUCUGUUAGCUCAAACUCUAGAGGUGUAGCUAUUUUGUUCAAUAAUAAUUUUGAAUGCAAAGUGUUGAAAGAAAAAAAAAUAUAAAUGGAAACUAUUUGAUUUUAGAUAUUCUUGGGGAAAAUAGAAAGAUAUAACUAUUGUAUGAUUGAACGGAC
This 210-nucleotide long non-coding RNA is filed under the name Mytilus galloprovincialis (Mediterranean mussel). Lineage: Eukaryota; Metazoa; Mollusca; Bivalvia; Mytilida; Mytilidae. The record is from RNAcentral.